Molecule: ribosomal RNA, 465 nt
Filed under: Vreelandella stevensii
Lineage: Bacteria; Pseudomonadati; Pseudomonadota; Gammaproteobacteria; Oceanospirillales; Halomonadaceae
Description: partial 16S ribosomal RNA
Rfam family: Bacterial small subunit ribosomal RNA
Source: RNAcentral
CCUACGGGAGGCAGCAGUGGGGAAUAUUGGACAAUGGGGGCAACCCUGAUCCAGCCAUGCCGCGUGUGUGAAGAAGGCCCUCGGGUUGUAAAGCACUUUCAGUGAGGAAGAACGCCUGGUGGUUAAUACCCAUCAGGAAAGACAUCACUCACAGAAGAAGCACCAGCUAACUCCGUGCCAGCAGCCGCGGUAAUACGGAGGGUGCGAGCGUUAAUCGGAAUUACUGGGCGUAAAGCGCGCGUAGGUGGCUUGAUAAGCCGGUUGUGAAAGCCCCGGGCUCAACCUGGGAACGGCAUCCGGAACUGUCAAGCUAGAGUGCAGGAGAGGAAGGUAGAAUUCCCGGUGUAGCGGUGAAAUGCGUAGAGAUCGGGAGGAAUACCAGUGGCGAAGGCGGCCUUCUGGACUGACACUGACACUGAGGUGCGAAAGCGUGGGUAGCAAACAGGAUUAGAUACCCGAGUAGUC